CACUAUCAUCAUCACUAUCAUCGUCAUUAUCAUCAUCAUUAUCAUCAUCAUUAUCAUCAUCAUUAUCAUUAUCAUCAUUACAUCAUCAUUAUUAUCAUCAUCAACAUCAGUAUCAUCAUCAUAUAAUUGUCUUGCAUUAAUAGAAACCAAUUAACACCAAUAAACACAAAUUGAAUUACUCAAUACAAUUUAACUAAUUAUUACAAUUUACAAACAACGGAUUACAAUAAAUUACAUUUUUUUGAUAAAUACUAAUUCACUAUAAUUUGAAAUUAGCUUGUCUUCAUAUAUGUCGCUAUGUUCCUGAAAUAAAAAUAAGAAGCGUUAAUAAGUAUGUGUACAAGACAUUCGGUAAUUUUUUACAAUAGAGUUUUUGCCGAAUUCUGAUAUUUCUUUGCAGCAGUCUUAAUAAAUAUUUUUAUUGUUACUACAACAGUAAUCACAGUAAAGUAGGGAGUCCGAAAAUAUGCAAUUUAACCUAUGAAAUUUAAUCUAUGUUUUUAACUAUUGUUUUCCAACGUAAAUUAUCGAAGUUUCUCCGUGUGGCAUAUUUGUUUCAAUUUAUGUGAUUGUUAAACUUUACAUAACAGAUUUUCGCACUGAGUAAGUUACUGAUCUUGUAAUCACGUUAUGUUAUUUAAAACUUUUAAUUAACUCGUUUAAUGUUUAACUCGUCUAACUCGUUUUGAUCGUCGCAUAUUCACAAAAAAGAUUAGAGCUUCAAAACAGUAUCUUAGCAAAGCAUUGUCUAAGCAUAUCUGUGCUCGUGUCCAUUACAUCUUCACCUUUCUAAAUAGAUAAGUCUACAAUAUACAAAAAUAAUAAAUACUGAAAAGAUUAGUGAGAUCCCUAUACAAGGUAACACGUAUCAUUAAUGUAAUUCUGCAUGCAAUAUUGCAUUACUGUACAGAGUUCGCCAAAAGUCCCGACAUCCCUGAUUUUUUCGAAGGAAAAAACGUCGGAUAGAAAAAUGACUCCUACAAAAGUUUCAGCAUUUUGAAUAUUGAACGUGAUUGUAACUUUAAACCUUGAAUUUGACCUUGAGAUUUACUUUUAAGGUCAUUUGAAGGUCAACUUGAAAAUUUUGUAAUGGGAACCCCUGUUUUUGAUCCAGGAUUCGGAAAAAGUGUAAAAUUUCCUGUUCGAUCAAGAUACGUUAUCAAGUUAGAGAUGAAAGUAACUUUUAAAAGUCACUUGAAGAUCAAAUAUCUCAUUGACUUAAAACACAUCGUGUUAAGGUUUUUUAAAUCCCAUUUUAGAAUUCAUUUGAAGAAAUUUUAAGUUGAUUUUCAAAUAGCCUUGAAAGUCGAUCCCAAGAUAAAGUUCAAGGUUACCAUCACGUUCAAAAAAAUAUUCAAAAUACUAAAACUUUUGUAAAAGUCAAUUUUUUAUAAGAUGUUAAAAAUCCUCUUUAAAAAAAUCAGGAUUCUCGGGACUUUUGGCGAAACCUGUAUAUUCAAACACACCUAUUUCUAAUGAAUGUAUAAUUUAAUUUUGGUCAAUUUGAAUAUUACAUAUUACUCAUAAAACCUUUCACAAAUGAUUAUAAUUUUGUUAUGAUUUUGUUAUGAUAUUAAUUGUUUUAUUUUUAUUUUCAGGCCGUUUAUACACGGAAAAAAACGAUUUCACGAUCGCAGCUAAUCGUGAAUUAGCUGAAAAUAUAUUACUACUGCAGCUAAACAUCUGCUGCAGUUGCUAACGGUAUAGCUACCACAGCUAAUACACAGAAUGUCUCAGAAUAUCCAUGUCUCACUACGCGAUAGGGACGUAGAACAUAUCAAAGUGAAUAAAAAAGACUCAUACUGUUUCUCGAUAUCUGUUAUAAUUAACGAGUUAUUCGAUGGUAAAGAUAUCAGGUUUUAAGCAUUAAGCGACAAUUGAUGUGCGCCUCCGCAUAUGUCGCCUAUAUGCUUAAUACUUGAUAUCUUUACCUUCGAAUAACUCAUUAAUUAUAAAAGAUAUCGAGAAACAGUACAGGAUUGUUUUAUUCACCUCGAUAUGUUCUACACCUAUCCCUAUAUUCUAUCGUAGUGAGGCAUGAAUGUCCUAAUAUAUGAAUACUUAAACGUUUAACUACGAUAAACAUAUACCCAGAUAACCAAACCUGAACAAGUAAAUCUCAUAAACAAACUUUAUUGCUAGAUUUUUAUUCCAAAUAAGUAACAAAUUUAUACAAAUUCAGUUAAAAAUCUUGCUGCCAAAUUGCCAUCAGAUAUGCGACAAAGCCUACUGUUAAACAAGUUGCUGCAGAUUUGUAGUAAAAACCGCACAGAGCCUGCAGCCUUUUGACAAAUUGGCGCCAGAGAUCGAGUAAAUCUUGAUGUGUUGCAAGACUUACGCAGUUUUUGCUGCAAAUUUGCUACAAGUUACUCAACAGCUUAAAAGUCGGAAUACAUUUUUCUUUCACACCGUAUAUUUUUCUACGAUUUAGGAACUCUCGAAAUACGUACUUUAAGAUUUUUGAGCUGUACCUUCUUAGCAAAAAAUGCACAUAAUGUAUCCAAAGCUCAGGACGGAAGUAUGUUUAAAAACCGGAAUAUAUGUUCCUUUACUACAGCAUAUUAAUUACUGAUAUAUAAGCUCGCAAUAUAGGUACCUUAUAAUUAUUUAUUUGUAGCUUCUUUGAUGAAAAUUCACAUUGUAAAUUUACAAUAUGUGUAUGUUUUUGCCAAGGAUGUGCAGUUCAAAACUCGUAUAAUACGUAUCUCGAGAGAUAUAGUUUAGCAGCAAGAUUUGAUAAAACAGAUCCUGUGUCAAUUCUGAUGGCAUUCUAUCGACAAAAAGUGCUGCAAGAUAUUUAUACUGCACGUUUGUCAAGAUAUGCUUUGGAUAUUCUUGGCUAUUAGGGUGACUUAUGGCAGCUAAAUAAUUAACAACACCAAAGUUUUAGUUGCUACAACAUAUUUUCAGCUAAUCCCCGAUUAACUGCAGUCUUGAAAUAAUUUUUUUCCGUGCAGGUAACAUUCAAAAUUUAUUUUGUUUGAUGUUUCAUGUAUGUUUUCGUACAAUUUAUUUUAUUUGUACAUGAAACUUAUAGUCUUGAACUUGUGUAAUUGGGUUUUUAAAUCGUAUUUCAAAGAUAAGCAGUUAUUAUCUUUGAAAUACGAUUUAAAAACCCAAUCGCACAAAUUCAAAAUCUGGAUUUCAAUUUAAACAAGAAUUCAAAUGUUUAUUUUGAUAAAAAUAUUUUGUUAAUUACCAAUGAACUAAAGUAACAGCACAGGUAAUUAUCAAGACUGCUAUAAAAAAUAUCAAAAUUGGGAAAAGAUCUUUUAUAGAAAAUUUCCAUUCAUUUAAGAAAUAAUCGAUUUAAUCAAAAGGUAAUCUAUUGUAAUUUAUAACAAUUAUACAAAAUUGCUUAUUAAUUUGCUUACGUUUUGUCUUUCCUUUCUCCUCCCUUUUUUGUCUUCUCUCUCUCUCUCUCUCUCUCUCUCCCUCUCUCCCUUCCUUAACUUCCUUAAGGGGGAAGUCUACUGUAAAAUUUUCAAAAAAUCAAUUUUUUGUUUAUUGGCUUAAAAAAUACUUUGAACCCUCUAAAAUAAGGUACAUUAGGUGUUAUAGCCGGCUAAAUUUUUCUUCAUUGAAAUUUCGACCUUUUACCGAAGCGCUCCGAAACGCGUACCUGCGGCAAAUUCCUAUCUGUUCGGCAGGUACAGCGUAGUGACUUGCAAUUCAAUUUCUAACAUUUCUAAUACUCCAAGUCGAUCAACAGAUGUCACUAGGUAUAUUUUAUAGUCAGUUAGAAGCGAUUUCAACAGUAAGGACGCCGGUAGUGCGUAAUUUUAAGGGCCAGUGUGUCGAACAGCUGUGAUCGUUUCGGCGUUUCCCGCGUGGCUAACGUAUAGUUUUUAUACUUUUAUCAAAAUGAAGCCUGCUUCUUUCGACCGAAAGGGUUCACGCGAAACUCCCGGACGACCUUCACGACGUAGGAAAAGACCGUCGCCACCAAAUCGCCAUACGAUGGAGAAUGAAACGGAAUCGACAAGUUCUUCCGCGAAAAAAUUAAGAACGAAAUCGGUGGAAGUGGAAAUUAAUAAUGGCUAUGGAUACCGUUUGAUUGAAUUUUUAUUCUUGUUUCAAACGCUGAGGAUAUACACAGAACAGCAACGAGAGCCUGAAUGCGAUGAUCUGGUCGUUAGCUCCGAAACAAACAUUCAGCGGCGCAAAAACCGUCGAUAUUGCGUCGUAUUGUGCUGCGAGCAUUUUCAAUAAAGGCUACUCCAGUAUCCUCAAAAUGAUGGACGUUAUGAACAUCAAAAUUGGACCAAACGCCUUCAAUUUAUGCAACACCGUGGACGAGCGCAGAAUAUCACAAGCAAACGAACGGUCGUUCGACGCUUCAAAAGAAGGGAGAAUCGAGAGAAGAACGGCGCGAUCGGCACUCGAAGAGGAUUUCCUUGAACAAGAAGGUGUACUAUAUGAAGCAGGAAUGGGCGAUUAAUGAUCACCCAGACGUGAGAUUUCAUGUACACCGUUUGGGCACCUAAAAAAAACGGACCUGCGCUUGAAGGAGUGCCACGACGGCAAUUUUGAAUAUUUCGACUUGAAAAUUUUUUUACAAAUACUUGAAUAUAUAAUAAAGAUGACGGUUUAAUUUAA
Odontomachus brunneus is the source of this 4599-nucleotide long non-coding RNA. RefSeq lists it as uncharacterized. Lineage: Eukaryota; Metazoa; Arthropoda; Insecta; Hymenoptera; Formicidae. The record is from RefSeq and is a predicted model, not a curated record. The transcript has 2 exons.